Long non-coding RNA from Lathyrus oleraceus (garden pea), 1749 nucleotides. RefSeq lists it as uncharacterized. The record is from RefSeq and is a predicted model, not a curated record. NCBI's taxonomy places the organism in Eukaryota, Viridiplantae, Streptophyta, Magnoliopsida, Fabales, Fabaceae. The transcript has 3 exons.
ACCUUUUAUUAUAUAUGUUUAUUCCACUUUUUAUUUAUAAAACAUGGUGAUUUUAUAUUUUAAUAUGGUUUGUGUAUGUGUGAGAAAGAGAUCCCACAAUAAUGUUCCUUUCUCAAAUGCUCUUUUCACUGAUGUAUUGAAUGUUUCAUAUUUGUGUCACUACGCCAAAAACUGGAAUAGACAGCGCCCCUUAGAGGGCGCUUUAUUACCAAAGCGCACUCUAAAGUGAAGAGAAAAAAUAAGGAGCAUACUAUUGGAAUAGACAGCGCACUAUAGAGGGCGCUUUUGUAACAAAGCGCACUCUAAAGUGAAGCGAAAAAAUAAUGAGGAAAUGGAGGGACACCAAUAGAGGACGUUUUAUUGAAAGCGCCAUCUAAGGGUAACCUUAGAGGGCGCUUUUAAAAAAGCGCUCUCUAUGUCCAUGUACAUUUCCAGUUUAUAAGGUGUUUUUGGAAAGCCUUAGAGAGCGCUUUCAGAAGCGCCCUCUUAGGCCCCCUUUAGAGGGCGGUUUUUUUACAAACCGCCCUCUAAAGUGAAGCGAAAAAAUAAUGAGGAAAUGGAGGGACACCAAUAGAGGACGCUUUAUUGAAAGCGCCCUCUAAGGGUAACCUUAGAGGGCGCUUUUAAAAAAGCGCUCUCUAUGUCCAUGUACAUUUCCAGUUUAUAAGGCGCUUUUGGAAAGCCGUAGAGAGCGCUUUUAGAAGCGCCCUCUUAGGCCCCCUUUAGAGGACGCUUUUGUAACAAAGCGCCCUCUAAAGUGAAGCCAAAAAAAAAAUAAUGAGGAAAUGGAGGGACAACAAUAGAGGGCGCUUUAGUGAAAGCGCCCUCUAAGGUUACCCUUAGAGGGCGCUUUUAAAAAAGCGCUCUCUAAGUCCAUGUACAUUUCCAGUUUAGAAGGCGCUUUUGGAAAGCCUUAGAGAGCGCUUCCAGAAGCGCCCUCCUAGGCCCCCUUUAGAGGGCGCUUUUUUUACAAAAGCGCCCUCUAAGGUCCCCUUUAGUAAACAUUAAAAUUAUAACAUAUACUGCAUGUCUCUUUAUUUUCCCUCUCUAUAAGCUAUUUCGUUUACGUAACUGGGUUUUCUCUCUACUGCGAUUACUCUCUACUGCGAUUACUCUCGUCCUCCGUUCGUUCUCCCUCCCUCACCGUCAUCGUCGCCGUCGCCCUUUUCUGCUGCUGCGUUCACGUUCACUGAGUUCACGUUCACCGUCACUGUUCACUUUCUUCUCCAUCGUUACCGUCACCUUGAAGAUAAAAUGGCUAACCAAGACGAUACCCAUGACGCGAAUGGAUCACGUAACAAUGUUGAAAAAGAAAUCAAACGAGGAUUGACUGUUAUGAAGUCAAUCAUUCGUGCAAGAGACAAGGGUGUAAAAUUUGAAGUACAUUGGAGUGCUGAAGACCAACUAAUUGAGCCUAACGGUUCAAUGUUGGCAAGUUACAUUGGUUUCCUUGUUCGAUAACAUAUUCCGAUUACAUGUGAUAAUUGGAGAAGUCCGGACUUGAAGGUUGGCAAAGAAAAAAUAUGGUCCGAGAUACAGAGAUCCUUUCACAUCGAUGAAAGCCGGCAAAAGUAUUGUAUUCAAUUGGCCGGAAAAAGACUCAGAGGAUUUCGAUCCUUUUUGUCCAACAAAUUUCUCAAGGAUGAGGAAGGAAAAUUUGUUGAAGCAGAACGGCCAAUGAAAUCCUUUUUAAUAUUGUAUCAAAAAAACUUCCUACAUUAAUAUAUGGCUUACAUCCUCUAUUUGAUG